RNAcentral lists this ribosomal RNA (1440 nucleotides) under uncultured organism. Its description in RNAcentral is "16S ribosomal RNA". It matches the Rfam family "Bacterial small subunit ribosomal RNA". The record is from RNAcentral.
GCGGCGUGCUUAACACAUGCAAGUCGAACGGAAAGGCCCUGCUUUUGUGGGGUGCUCGAGUGGCGAACGGGUGAGUAACACGUGAGUAACCUGCCCUUGACUUUGGGAUAACUUCAGGAAACUGGGGCUAAUACCGGAUAGGAGCUCCUGCUGCAUGGUGGGGGUUGGAAAGUUUCGGCGGUUGGGGAUGGACUCGCGGCUUAUCAGCUUGUUGGUGGGGUAGUGGCUUACCAAGGCUUUGACGGGUAGCCGGCCUGAGAGGGUGACCGGCCACAUUGGGACUGAGAUACGGCCCAGACUCCUACGGGAGGCAGCAGUGGGGAAUAUUGCACAAUGGGCGGAAGCCUGAUGCAGCAACGCCGCGUGCGGGAUGACGGCCUUCGGGUUGUAAACCGCUUUCGCCUGUGACGAAGCGUGAGUGACGGUAAUGGGUAAAGAAGCACCGGCUAACUACGUGCCAGCAGCCGCGGUGAUACGUAGGGUGCGAGCGUUGUCCGGAUUUAUUGGGCGUAAAGGGCUCGUAGGUGGUUGAUCGCGUCGGAAGUGUAAUCUUGGGGCUUAACCCUGAGCGUGCUUUCGAUACGGGUUGACUUGAGGAAGGUAGGGGAGAAUGGAAUUCCUGGUGGAGCGGUGGAAUGCGCAGAUAUCAGGAGGAACACCAGUGGCGAAGGCGGUUCUCUGGGCCUUUCCUGACGCUGAGGAGCGAAAGCGUGGGGAGCGAACAGGCUUAGAUACCCUGGUAGUCCACGCUGUAAACGGUGGGUACUAGGUGUGGGGUCCAUUCCACGGGUUCCGUGCCGUAGCUAACGCUUUAAGUACCCCGCCUGGGGAGUACGGCCGCAAGGCUAAAACUCAAAGGAAUUGACGGGGCCCCGCACAAGCGGCGGAGCAUGCGGAUUAAUUCGAUGCAACGCGUAGAACCUUACCUGGGUUUGACAUGGAUCGGGAGUGCUCAGAGAUGGGUGUGCCUCUUUUGGGGUCGGUUCACAGGUGGUGCAUGCCUGUCGUCAGCUCGUGUCGUGAGAUGUUGGGUUAAGUCCCGCAACGAGCGCAACCCUUGUUCACUGUUGCCAGCACGUUAUGGUGGGGACUCAGUGGAGACCGCCGGGGUCAACUCGGAGGAAGGUGGGGAUGACGUCAAGUCCUCAUGCCCCUUAUGUCCAGGGCUUCACGCAUGCUACAAUGGCUGGUACAGAGAGUGGCGAGCCUGUGAGGGUGAGCGAAUCUCGGAAAGCCGGUCUCAGUUCGGAUUGGGGUCUGCAACUCGACCUCAUGAAGUCGGAGUCGCUAGUAAUCGCAGAUCAGCAACGCUGCGGUGAAUACGUUCCCGGGGCUUGUACACACCGCCCGUCAAGUCAUGAAAGUUGGUAACACCCGAAGCCGGUGGCCUAACCGUUGUGGGGGAGCCGUCGAAGGUGGGACUGGUGAUUAGGACUAAGU